Lycium barbarum (goji berry) is the source of this 876-nucleotide long non-coding RNA. RefSeq lists it as uncharacterized. Lineage: Eukaryota; Viridiplantae; Streptophyta; Magnoliopsida; Solanales; Solanaceae. The record is from RefSeq and is a predicted model, not a curated record. The transcript is spliced from 2 exons.
UCCCUAAAACAUCUUAGGUUUCUCUUUCUUUGCUCUCACCCGCCACCUUCCCCAUUCCUCUGCCAUGGCAGCCAAACAAGCUUUGGCAUUUUCCUCCAUUUAGCACACGUUUGACCUUCAUAUCCAAAAAGCAAAGAUCAUAUACCCAUUCCAAUAAAAUGUUUGUGAGGGUAAAAACAAAAUGGCUGACAGAGGGAUUAGAAUUUCUUUCCUCUUUUCCAUUAUAGAACAAGGCCGAGUAAAAGGUUUACCAUUUUUACUUCACGCGUUUUCGCCAUAUUUGGCAUCAAGACCUCUGUCCCCUUUUGAUUUUUCUUCAAUGUUGCUGCAAACCUGGACGAAAUCAGUCCAUUUUGAAGCCAAAUCGUACUUAAAAUCCUGCCCAAAAAUGUAGAAGAGGAACCCUAAUCCUAUUCUAUAAAUACCAACGUUUGAGACCAUUUUGAGGGCGGCGACAUCUCAUUCAAAACAAAGAAAACAGUCAUAUGUCCCUCUAACCAUUAUAUUUCACUUUUAUGUUUAAAACUUUGGUUUAAUCUAAGCGUGCCCAUAUUCAUCGUCCUUUGAGCGUGGAUCCGCGACUUCAAGCCUUAGUUCACUGCACCUGAAAAAGAUUGUGAUCCAGAGACUUCCACGAGACCUCAUAUUUAGCUAAGGCCAGAUUCCAGGGUGAGCUAUUCUCCAUGCCAGGCCACCUGAAGAUUUUCCUAUUUUAGAUGUCUAUUUCAUUUCAGACAUUUAUGUUAUUAUUAAACAGUCGUUCUUUCUUAGACAGUUAUGUUAAAGUCCUUGUACGAUGACUUUCGGAUUUUAGGAUUGUAAUAGUUUAGACUUCUGCAGAUUUUAUUUAUUUAUGGCAUGACUAGACUUUGGAGA